This is a non-coding RNA of Canis lupus familiaris (dog), 105 nucleotides long. Lineage: Eukaryota; Metazoa; Chordata; Mammalia; Carnivora; Canidae. The record is from Rfam.
AGGAGGAACAACCGCAGUGGCGGGGCCAGCUCUGGAGCCCUGGAGUCAGCCCCCGCAGUAACCACAGAGCUCUCCGUCUGCAGGGCCUGGAGGCUCCGGGGCGGG